UUUUUAGCAUAAGUAUGUCCCUGACAAUAUUUGGGACAUACUUAUACUAAAA
MicroRNA precursor from Camelus ferus (Wild Bactrian camel), 52 nucleotides. It matches the Rfam family "mir-1302 microRNA precursor family". The record is from Rfam. Lineage: Eukaryota; Metazoa; Chordata; Mammalia; Artiodactyla; Camelidae.